GACGAACCGUGCGAACGUUGUUCGGAAUCACUGGGCUUAAAGGGCGCGUAGGCGGGGAAGCAAGUCAGGGGUUAAAUCCCACGGCUCAACCGUGGAAGAGCCUGUGAUACUGCUGAUCUAGAGGGAGGUAGGGGCGUGCGGAACUUCCGGUGGAGCGGUGAAAUGCGUAGAUAUCGGAAGGAACACCGGUGGCGAAAGCGGCGCGCUGGACCUCUACUGACGCUGAGGCGCGAAAGCCAGGGGAGCAAACGGG
RNAcentral lists this ribosomal RNA (253 nucleotides) under uncultured bacterium. Its description in RNAcentral is "partial 16S ribosomal RNA". It matches the Rfam family "Bacterial small subunit ribosomal RNA", at positions 524 to 776 of the family's 1533-position model. The record is from RNAcentral.